AUCUACGGCUGUACCACCCUGUACACACCUGAUCUAAUCUGGUCUCAGAAACCAGGGUCAGGCUUGACUUGUACAUGAAUAGAAGAAAACAAUUUUAAAGUUGGUC
This 106-nucleotide ribosomal RNA is filed under the name Carlito syrichta (Philippine tarsier). Lineage: Eukaryota; Metazoa; Chordata; Mammalia; Primates; Tarsiidae. The record is from RNAcentral.